This 20215-nucleotide long non-coding RNA is filed under the name Fragaria vesca (wild strawberry). RNAcentral describes it as "long non-coding RNA (FVES_LNC003828)". Lineage: Eukaryota; Viridiplantae; Streptophyta; Magnoliopsida; Rosales; Rosaceae. The record is from RNAcentral.
UAGAGCUAAUCACCGGCAGAACAGCAAUAAUAGAAGAUGUAGAACCCGAACCUGUUCACAUAUGUCGAUGGGUGAGGCCUAUGUUUCAGAGAAGAGAUAUUGAAAGUAUAUUGGAUUCAAGGAUCCAACCAGGGACUUACAACGUUUCCUCUGCUUGGAAGGCGGUAGAAAUUGCCAUGGAAUGUGUGUCAUCAACAGCUAUCGAAAGACCAGAUAUCAAUGUUGUGUAUAAGGAACUGAAGGAAUGUUUGGAAAUUGAGGUUCCACCUGAAAUAGCAAAGGUUCCAGAGGUUGAUGAUGAGAGUGAUGAUUGCAGUACUAAUUCAGUGUUUCUUUUCACAUGGCGUCCCACACUGAGUCUGAAAGCUUCUUAGUUCAUAUGAAGUCACACAAGUCUGAAACUAAAAGGCAUACGUGUUAGUUAUUCUUGCACUGUUAAAAUAAGAUUGGAAUUAUACGAGCGGAAACUAAUUGGACUAUUCCUACAAAUCUAGUAGGAGAACAUUGCCCCAAUUUUGGGUUUCUGGAUUGCAAGAAGAUUUACCGGAAGCAUGUUUAAAACUAAGUUCUUGCAACCGGAAGAGUGACGCAGGAGGAGUAUGGAGGGCUAACCAGCGUUAAACCCUAAUAAGUGGAGAGCCUUCAAGCGAAGAACUUUAUAGGAGCAAAACCUGGAGCGCGUCAGGGACUAAGAGAAAACUCUUAAGUUUCUGAAUUAUAUUUGAAAAACUGAAUGUCAGCUACCCAUAAGGGUGCUUAUAUAUGAGAAACAAAACCCUAGGGCGACUAACAACCAAACCUAAAAGCCUAAGGAUUGAAUUAAAACAGAAUCCAAAAAAACUAUGAAACAUAAAAAUCCCGAAAACUAAUAAAACGCUGUUUUGAGGUCCAAAACAAACUCGAAUAGUCGAAAAAAGUUAUACGUCGUGGCAAAACGACAAGUCUUGUUCGUUGGGCCGUUCCGCUUCUAGAAAUGUAUCAUAAUAGUCAUUCAGACAUCGAACGCUAAAUCUGCAGCAAACCGGGUUUGGACCUGCAACGAUCGAUCUGUUCCUCGAUUUCUUCUGCCAUCCGUCCUACAUCAAAGAGAUACUCAUAUACAUGAUGCCAAUGGAACAUUUGGGUACCUUGAUGCUGUAAACUGCAGAUUAUGUUUUCUACCUUAUUGUUAAAGACCAAUGACUUCUGAGUUUUGAUCACGAAAAAUAUGUGAAAAACGAAAUCGAAUCAUUGGAAUUCAAUGCACACAAUCUUCCAUGCCACAUCUAGUUGGGAUUAAUGCACCAUUUGGGAGAGAAGAAAAUUUAGAAUUAAGACAAGCGGACUUCAAACCAAAUAUGCUUCCAUAGUUCCAAUCAUGAAUCCAAGCAGACUCGAUUGCUUUGAUCACUACGGUAACCUCAGCAACAACAGAACUAGAAAUAUCAAGGGAUGAAGAAAAAGCACCGACAACCCUCACCUUGAAAAUCACAAAAAACUCCACCAUAACCUGACUGAACCUCCUCACUCUCCCAAACGCCAUCUGUAUUGACAUUUGCCCAACCAAUUAUAAGAGAGUGCUAAUUCACCUCAAAGGCUCAAAAAUUCUGGGGCACGACGCGGCCUAGCUACAAGUAACACUGAACCUCUUCAAGACACAAAACACAGUAAAAAAAUAAAAAAUAAAAAAACAGAGAGAGAGAAAGAAAAUAGAAAAGAAAAAUAUCAGGUAGUGUUAUCUAUAACCAUGACAUAGACUAAUUGGUGAAUACAAGUCGCACAAAAGAGCAUCAUGUUGGGACUUCUCAGUUUGCAGUAGGAAACUGGUCUUCAAUCAUCAAAUGUUCGUGGAUCAGUGGAUGUCUCCAGCGGAACAAAAUCCCUUUGUCUUCUUCUUCUCAAUUCUAAGUUCAGACUCGAAUGGCUAAUUGGAUUCUUUUCACCUUCAUUUCUAUAAAUGGGUGUGAGCCCUCUUCUACUCACGAUCCUCAUCACCCUCUCAUUCUUCCCAGGUACGUAAUCAAUCCAUCCUCAACUCCUCCACCUCUGUUUCUUAUUACUGAUCGAACAAACUGGUGUUUACUUGUUGGUUUCUUCGAGUGCAAAAACAGAGUCGACAUCGUUCGAGAUAGUCAACAACUGCAACUACACAAUCUGGCCCGGACUUCGCUCCACGGCCGGCUCAUCACUAAACCUGUCGACCACCGGCUUCACGCUCAAGAGCGGCGCGUCCUUCAACCUCUCCGUCCCCAAAUCCUGGACAGGUCAGGUGUGGGGCCGGACACUCUGCAACCAAUCCUCCACCAGAAACUUCUCAUGCUUCACCGCCGACUGCGGCACCGGAAAAAUCGAGUGCGACAGAAACGGUGGCAGUCUGCCGGCUACCCUAGCCGAGUUCUCUCUCAACCUCACCGGCGGCAUGGACUACUAUGACGUCAGCCUCGUCACCACUGGUGGAGCCGCACGGAGCAGGCAGCAGCAACUGCAGCUCUUCGGGAUGCUCGGUCGACUUGAACGGCUCGUGUCCCAGGGAGCUGAGGGUGGCGCGUGAGGGGAGCCAAGGGACCGUGGCGUGCAUGACGUCGUGCACGGCGUUCAAUAAUUCGUUGUUUUGUUGUACUGGGAGUGUUUUGCCGGAAAAGUGUGCCGGUACCGUAUACACCGAUUUUUUCAGACGGGAAUGCCCACAAGCGCAUGCCUAUGUGUAUGAUCCGAUCCAGACUUCUUCGUACACGUGUGCGUCAGCUAACUACAACAUUGUGUAUUUUUAUUUUUUAGAUAAUGACAAUUUACACAAGAAAAACAGAAACAACUUUAAUGUUAAAACUAUUUUUAAAGAUCAUCCAAAUGAUUCUCAAAAUUUCUUAGGGCUCGAAGUUUAUGUGAAAUGCUCUAAUUAUGUAUUGUAAUACAGUUUUUGUCACUUUGACUGUUUUAGGGUUCAAACUAAAUUGGAACACACCCAACUAGACAAGAACAACUAGGACGACUUGCAUAGUUUAGGUACUUGUACAAUUGUCACGUUUUAUGAUGUUCCAUUCAAGUUUCACGUAUGUUGUGAUGCAUCGUCUGAUUUCUAUGCAUAUUUGUCUAAUAAUACCAAGUGAACCAUAUUUUGAGGAAAAAUUCUAGUAUAACAUAUGGUAUAGUAUGCCUCACAAAAUGUGUGGCUAUCAUUGAUUGUAGAAACAAGUAAAUGAUCAUGUAAUGACCAUUUACCCUUUUAAAAGCUCUCAUGUGUCAUACAAUUAGACACAUUUACAAUAUGUAUGUAAUAUCAUAUGGUAUGAUAGACAAACACCAUUUUGAGAAACCAUAUAAAGCCCAUAUUUUGUUAAGACACAGUCACAUCAUUUAAUGAAAUAUUCUGAUUGAAUAAUGUAAAUGUCACUUAAGCUGAUACCUAAUGUUGGUUCGAGCUAGUUCUUUAAAAUAUGGUUAACUUAUCAUUGCUCUGAAAACAAAUAAAGUUCAUUCAACAUCACAAGUAAGAGCUAGGAACCCCUUGAUUAGUGUUGUGUUUUUGAAAGGGGACAUAACGCCUAAAUCAGUUGAUACACCAGUCCAAGAGCCGAUUGUAUACAAACGGUUCCUUUAGAAAGCAAAAACCACAAAAUAAAAAUUGUCUCUAUAGCAUCAAUUGCUGGGAUUGUCAAAGCACUAUUUGGGGAGAUUGAAUAAAAUUUAGAAUUAAAGAAGUAAUAAUUUUCGAAUUUGGGAGAAAGACCAUCUAAAUAUGUUUUGAGCCAAAAUAUCUUUCUAAUCACGAUUCCAAACCAGCUCUCUUGUCUUAAUCACCGCCAUAACACCUCAGCAGUAAUGAAACUAGAAAUAUUGAAGGCAUGAAGGAAAAACACUGAGAGCAAUUGCACCCAUGGAUGGAGGGCAAUCGCUGAUUUGCCAAUCAAAUUGGUACUGCUAAUCCACUAUUUAUCUAAAAUUGGCAAUUGCAUUUUGCUUGUUCAAUGCACCAAUUGGGCAAUUUACUUGCUAAUUUCAUUAUAAAUUAAUCAAUUCAUUUAUUUAUGAACUAAACUAAACUUAUAGUUUGAUUUGAUUAAUUAUUUUUAAAUUAUAAUAAUGGUACGUUAGUUAAUCUUAAUGAAAAAUUAUCUUAGGUAACAUUUGACAAAAUAAACGGUAAUUUUUAUAUAAAAAAAGGAGAAAGUUGUAGAACUUUGAUUAUGGAGUGUUUACUUCAUUUGUUUGACGGUUAUUCUAUAAUUGUUAGAGGGGAUGGUGGUUCGAGUCACCCCUGAAGCAUACUUUUUCCCAAAUCAAAACCAAUUUCCUUCUCUCCACGUGAUGGACAACCACUUUUAUGUGGAGCCCACCAGAAUUGGUCAGGCAAUUCAAUGGGCGAAAAUUAACAAUCCAAUUGCCCGGGCGGCUGGGUCCCAUGUGGGCCUUAGCAAUUGGUCGGGCAAAACUUUGCCGGUGCGAUGUUUUCUCUCAAUCAACAAAUCAGUCAUCAAAUCGAUCCAUUGGUGCAAAUGCUCUGACAAACUCAUUUUGAAAAUCACAAAAAAGUCUAACAUAACUUGACCGAUCCUUCCCACGCGUCCAAGAACCAUCAAAUCCAUGUUGAUCUUGACCUAACCAUUAAGAUUCACCUAUAAAAAUCUUUGAGGCACGACCCGGCUACGAUUAACGCCAGACAUCUUAAUUCGGUCUAUAUUAUCUGCAGCCAUGACAAAGACAAAUUGGCGUCUUCUUCUUCUUCUCAGUUCUAAUUAACUGGAAUGACUUGGAUUCUCACCUUCAUUUCUAUAAUGGGUGUGAGUCCUCUUUUACUCACGAUCCUCAUCACCCUCUCUUUCUUUUUAUCAGGUAAGCAAUCAAUCCGUACUCAACUCCUCCAUCUAUGUUUCUUAUUCAUCGAACAAACUUGUGUUUAGUGUUUACUUUUGGUUUCUCAGAAACAGAGUCAACAUCGUUCGAGAUAGUCAACAACUGCAACUACACAGUCUGGCCCGCAGUUAUCUCCUCCGGCACAGUAAACCUGUCGUCGCUGUCGACCACCGGCUUCACGCUCAAGAGCGGCGCGUCCUUCAACCUCUCCGUCCCCAACUCAUGGCAGGGUAGGGUGUGGGGCCGGACACUCUGCAACGAAUCCUCCACCGGAAACUUCUCCUGUUUCACCGCCGAUUGCGGCACCGGAAAAGUCGAGUGCGGCGGAAAUGGCUCCAAACCGCCAGCUACGUUCGCCGAGUUCUUAAUCAACAGCACCGGCAUGGACAUCUAUGAUGUUACCCUGGUCGACGGGUUCAAUCUCCCAAUGGUGGUGGAGCCCCUUGGUGGCAGCAACUGCAAAUCUUCGGGAUGCUCGGCCGACUUGAACGGCGCGUGUCCCAAGGAGCUGAGGGUGGCGCGUGAGGGGAGCCAAGGGACCGUGGCGUGCAUGACGCCGUGCACGGCGUUCAAUAAUGAUCUGUUUUGUUGUACCGGGCAGUAUAAUACACCCGAGACGUGUGCUGGGACCGUAUAUACCGAUUAUUUCAAACAAAGAUGCCCGAAAGCGUAUACCUACUCGUAUGAUGACAACCAGACUACGUACACAUGUGUGUCAGCUAACUACAGCAUUGUUUUCUGCCCGAUCAGGUACCUAGUUCAUAAUAUAUUGUCACGUUCUAUAAUGUUCCAUUCAAGUUUCACUCUGCUGAAUCACUUUCACUUUGCUGAAUCACUGCAAGUGAUGUUCGAGCAUCAGGGAGGGAACUCUCAACCCGAGUUCGAUUUCACCAAGUAGUUAAAGUGGUCAGACACAAUACUGAAAUGUAUAUUUGGAGCAUUUCAUAUGCACUUAGAGAUUAAUCAAUUCUUCGUAGUUCGUAUUAUAACAUGUCGAAUUCAAGAGCCAAUAUGAUGUUUUUGACAAAUGAGGUAGUGAUGAGACAACAAUGUGAAAGUAUGGGGUUAUUAGUAGUUUCCUGGGUGUUUUCUGGAUACAGUGUGGGUCUAUAUUACGUAGAACAGUAGAAUUACUAGUACUUACAACUUACAAGUAGAAAUCUUCUAUGAUACAAAUGCAGGUUAGUACGAAAGACUAACCAUCAAGCUUCUUUAUGUCAGUUUGGACCAAACACCAGCUGAAACACCAGCAGCCAAAGAACCAACUGUACCCGAACAGGUUCCUUCGAAAAGUAAAAGACACAAAAUCAUCAUUGCCUCUGUAGCGUCAAGUGCUGGGAUUAUUAUCUUCAUAUUAGCGGUAUUAGCGGGACUAUGGAGCACUAAAAGGAAGAAGAGACAACAAGGUUAGCAAAAUGAAUACUUAGGCCAACUUUGAUUGCAGGACUUUCAAUUUUUUAGCUAGUCUAUUUUGUGAUGAUCACUCUGGCUUCUGGUGUAGAGAUCCAAAAUAGUUCAUUGGAGUUGGACGAUGGUCGACGCUUCAUGUACUCGGAGCUUGUAAAGAUUACCAAUAAUUUUGCAUCGCCAAUUGGAGCAGGUGGAUUUGGAAAAGUCUAUCAUGGUAUUCUGGAAAAUGAUAUGCAAGUUGCCGUCAAGUUACUUAUUUCCGCAUCAGGCUCCAGUGAAUUUCAAAAUGAGGUCGAUAAGUUAGCAAUCUUAAAGCGAUUCGGACUGUCCCAAAACCACAAUCAUAUAUAAACCAAUCUGUGUAUGCAGGUUAAGCUAUUGAUGAGAGCUCAUCAUAGAAAUGUGGUUUCCUUCACUGGCUACUGCUAUGAUGGAAAGACUAUGGCACUUGUAUUUGAAUAUGUUGCCAAUGGAAAUUUACAACAACAUUUAACAGCUUCAGGUAUGCAGUUACAGUAUUUCAUCUAUAUAUAUAUAUGAUGUGCUUGCAUUACUUGAUGAUCACUUAUAUGCUAAAUGCAAUGAAUUGUGUGCACUGUUGGGGUUCAGAUGUAGAUACAGGAAACAUUUUGACUUGGAAGGAGAGACUUCAAAUCGCAGUGGAUGCAGCACAAGGUAUACAAUAGCUGAGAUAUAAGAACAAUAUAUAUGUGAAAUGGAUUGUUCCUUUGGUCUUCCUAUAUAUUUCCUAAAUCAUGAUUGAGUUGCAAUAUGAUGUACAUUAGUACCUGACAUCGAUUAGGCUUUUAAAAGGCAGAUAAUAUUUUGCAGGACUGGAUUAUCUACAUAAUGGUUGCAAGCCUCCCAUAAUCCACAGAGAUAUAAAGACCUCCAAUAUAUUGUUAACUGAAAAGAUGCAAGCCAAGAUAUGUGAUUUUGGUGUUUCCAAACUUCUUUCAACUGAAACUGCUACUCAUACCAUGACAGAUCACGUCAGAGGAACUCGAGGAUACUUUGAUCCUGAGUAAGUUAGUAAAGACGUAUAUAAGUUACUUAAAAAUUGCUGAAAGAUAAAUUGCUGAUAGAUAAGCAUAACUUACAUUCUUCGAUUUUCUUCUUUUCAUCUCGUUAUGUUCAGAUACUACACCACAGGAAAGCUGAACAAAAGAGUGAUAUAUACAGCUUUGGUAUUGUGUUGCUAGAGCUAAUCACCGGCAGAACAGCAAUAAUAACAGAUGUAGAACCCGAACCUGUUCACAUAUGUCAAUGGGUGAGGCCUAUGUUUCAGAGAAGAGAUAUUGAAAGUAUAUUCGAUUCAAGGAUACAAGCAGGGACUUACAACGUUACCUCUGCUUGGAAGGCGGUAGAAAUCGCCAUGGAAUGUGUGUCAUCAACAGCUAUCGAAAGACCAGAUAUCAAUGUUGUGUAUAAGGAACUGAAGGAAUGUUUGAAAAUUGAGGUUCCACCUGAAAUAGCAAAGGUUCCAGAGGUUGAUGAUGAGAGUGAUGAUUGCAGUACUAGUUCAAGUGUCCCUGUUCUACAUGACGUCCCACACUCGGUCUGAAAGCUUCUUAGUUCAUAUGAAGUCACACAUUGAGUCUGAAACUGAAAGGCAUACGUGUUAGUUAUUAUUUUGUUUUGAAAUCAACAUUUUAGUUAUUCUUGCACUGUUAAAACAAGAUUGGAAUUAUACGAGGGCGGAAACUAAUUGAACUAUUUCUACAAAUCUAGCAGAACAUUGCUCUGAUUAAAACUGUUCUUUCACUUCUUUCCAAGAGUAUAUUAUUACCUCUGGAGAAUCCAGAAGUAUGUUUUAAAUUAAGUUCUUGCAACUGGAAGUGGCACUCGUAUAUCAACUUAUGCAAAGGAACAUUUCGGGUACCUUGAUGCUGUAAACUGCUGGUUAUAAAAACUGAUGAAGAUUUUCAACGUUCGCGAUUAUUUCAGGAUCAAUGACUUCUGAUAAACAGUUGCACAGAUCAAUGAGAUCGUUGUUGAUACGAAUUCGAGCAGCUCAGCUCAUGGAAGAAAGAGCUGCAACACAAAAAUGCUAGAUAGAUAAUUCAUUGUCAAAAGUUUGGAAAUCGAUUAAUUCAUAGUGGGUCGUCCAUCUAUGUAAUGAAACUAGAUAUUGAAAAAGCUUCCAUAGUCUGAAGAAAGUAGUCGUUCAGAAAUCAGAAGUAACAAAUACUGGAGUAACAAAUACUUUUCAAUACAUCUAUCCGCAGAAAAUGAACCGAGAAAGACUGUUAGGCACAUGAACUAGAUUCCCUAAAUAUUACAAAUGUCAUGAAUUACAUCCCUGCCAACAUUUCCAGUAAAAUUUACAUCAAGCAUAGAGGCACAAUUCUGGUCAGGUCUUAGGAAAUUGGCUUUCUUUCUUUUGAUUAUCUAGAUGAUGAUUAGAACCCAAAUUGAGAAUGAUAGAUUAGGGAUGCAGUUUUGUGAGAUUGUAAGCCUCGAAGCCAUCACCUACCUUGCACACUGGCAGGAGAUUGUCCACCUCUCUCACUGCCAAUAUCAUCUUCUACUCCACUCACGUCUAAACAAAGGCCAUUGUUGUUUACACUGACUUCAGAGCUAGCAUUACUGCUGGUGGCAAGAGGAGAAUCUGAAACACUAACCGUUCUGCUUCGUGCAGGCCCUGAUCUCACACUGUACAUAGAGGAUGCAGGAAUAUUUGUCAUCAACGGCCGCAAAUUACCAGGAAUGGUUCGCCUUAUAUCCUGCAAUCAAAAGUUAAAUCAAAUAUUAAUAUCACUGGGUUUCUGGGAUGUACAUCAAAUCAUAAACAGGAAAAGAAUGAUUACCAUGUGACGUAUAGCCAUAUCAAGGGAUUUCUUUGAGAGUGUUCUACCAAAGCCGGAACUGUCUGGGGAUGAAGAUGACUUCCCAGAGUUACCAUGAGGUGACGGUUUGUCAUCAUGCUUGGGGGGAGCCAGUCUCCGCAUAUUUAUUACCCUCUCAACCAUUUUCGUUCCCAUUAAAACAGGGCUCACAUUGUCAUUAACUUUAGAACGCCCACGACUGAAUGCAGGAACAGAGCUCCCACUAAUAUGAGUACUGCCAUUGGGAGCCCUUCCUCUUGAAGGAGAGCAUAAACAGUAGCAAAACCUUCUCAAAUCAAGUAAAUUUUUCAAACGCAAUUUAUAAGCUGAGCAAAGUGAUUGCAGCUUGGGCAGAUGCGAAAGAGUUCAAUAGUUCAGACACUCAUGUAACGGCCAAUCAGGCUUUGCAAUGAACAAGUUUUGACCUUUUCUGCUUCCUAUUGCAUAUUUUUUAGGAUAAUAAAUGCCAAGCGUAUUAAUUACUUGAAAGUUAAAAAGGAGAGUCAAAAUCAAAUCCAUAUGAAACGGCUACUCCUAUCACAUAGAGAUGCAUAUACUCCAACCACUCCAGAUUAAGAAUUACUACCCUCAUAAUAAGGAAGUGCUAACUCUAGAUUUGAGUGCAGUUGGACGAGCCUUUGGGGUUCCAAGCUGACUCAUCAUGGUCUUAUGUGAUUCCAUUUACAGUGAAGGGAAAAGAGGAGUCCCAGGCGGAGUUAAAAGCCUGCAGCAAGGGGGGAAAAAUCAUAUAAUGAUCUCAGUUAAAGCAGAACAUAAUAUAUAAUAAGACCCAACUUCAAAAGCCAAUUGCCACCUCUGCUAAAGUCUGAUCCUAAUAUGCUCUUAAGAACAAAAUAACACAUGUUUCCAUGAACUGUGGUCAGCAUUCCUUUCCAAAAAUUACUCAUAGUAGAUCCCCGCCUCCCCUAUUAUCUAUCAAAACCCUCUCAGCUAAAAAACAACUUUUACAGAUAAAAUGUAAUCUAUACUAUCACAUUACCAAUCAUAGUCAUUCUUAUCAUUCUCCAAAUUGAGAAACUUAUCAGUUCCACUCUUGCGCGUCAUCAGUUCCACUCUUGCGCGUGGAGGGCGCCGGCGUAGAUGAGGAUAUAUUAAAAAUGGGAGAAGUUCCGGGUUUAGCCCCUGCAAAUGUCGAAACAACCACACUAGUCAACCCACAUUUCCAAACAAUUCAAGCCAACUAUUACACUAAUACAGCACCAGUUCAAGAACUAAAUUUGAAAUCCUAUGUUACAAUCCAAAAUCCGAAAAAAAAACUAAGACUUGGGAACUGAGAAGUACCUAAAGGCGCAACGAACUCUUCAGAAGUGUUGAGAAGAAGAUCGUUCCUCUCCUUCUCCCUCUUCUUCAUCUCUAGAAACAACACCAGCUCUUCUUCCUUCUCCUUCCUCAUCAAGGCCCUCAGCUUGUGAAGUUCCAAGUACUUCCGGUAUGUUAAGCAAAAAAUAUAACAGGUGUUUAUCAUGGCACAAUACACCUGUUUGGUAGAACAACAUCCAUGGCCAGGAACUUGUCCUCAUUCUGGUCUCAGCUUCAGUUAAAUGUUAUAUGUUUAGCAGGGUAACUGAAGAAUGGAAGAAGCGAUUUUUCUUUUUCAAAGAACAAUAUUAAGACAUUAAGUGGGGGCAAUUGCCCUCACUAGGCAUAACAUGCGUCCGCCUAUGGCAGUAGAAGUAAUUCACUGACUCACUAUUAAGAGACUACAUACCUACAUUCUAAUCUGAACAUGUAAACUUUGAGUUUCAGAAAUGUACAAGUUUGGAGUAUUUCUGCUAGGGAUGAUGGUAAACAGGAUGCCACAAAAAGAGUUUGAGAGGUGCAACGAUUGUUAUAUGCAGAAUGCAUUAUCUUAGAAAUCGAGAGACACCGACAGACCCGAAAAUGGAAUUGACUCAAAACAUUGAUGCAAAUAUUCAAAAUACUCUUAAAACAAUAUCCUUACUUCACAGUUCACAUUCAAUAUACUCAUAUCUCACGAUGUUAAGCUGAAUAAAAUUCAAGGGAAUUGAGAUGAACAUGCCAAUCUAUAUACUAAUCAUUACUAUUGCAGCAUAAUACUCCAACAUUCUCAACUCGCAAAAAAGGAUAGAUUAACACAACAAAGCUUUAAUUCAACCAAUAUAUACAAACUCAUCAUUGAUCGUUACCUUCACCAACGAGAUGGCAGUUACCAACAAGAUGAAUACUUCAAUCGGCUGCAAAUUCGAAAAAAAUUUAUUUAUCCCCAAUUUCGGAUUAAAUCUAACGCCGGGCCCAAGGUUUCAAACAUUUUUACGAUCUUGGGUUGUCCGGAAUGGAAUGUUGACAGCCAAGAGGACCUCGAUGUCGAUCGAUUGCUUGAGUAAUAGACCCGGUAAGCAAGAGGAUGAGUGGUUGGUCGGCUUGAAUGGGUUAUGCUAUUAUUGUUUUAUUGCGUCUGCUUUUUCUUUUUUCUUUUUUAUUCCAGUGGUUAACGCCACUUGACUAACGCCUUCUUUCACGUGCACUGCAUAUGGGCGUGUACAUCCACGGCCGUGCACACAAGACACUCAGCUGGAAACUUCCACGAACAAUAGAUGAUUGAAGACCCAGUUUGCUUCUGAAGAUUGAAAAGUCUUGCGUGUGGACUUUCUCACCAGUUUGCUCCACAAGACACUCCGGUUUUUCAAAAUUUCUCUCCGAUCACUAUUUGAUCGGAGUGUCUUGUGGAGCAAACCGGAGUGUCUUCAAUCAUCUAUUGUUCGUGGAAAUUUCCAGCGGGACAAAAACCUUUCGUGUUCUUCAUCUCAGUUCUAACUUUCAAACUCGAAUGACUAAUUGGAUUCUUCACCUUCAUUUCUAUAAUGGGUGCGAGUCCUCUUUUACUCACGAUCCUCACCCUCUCUUUCUUCUUAUCAGGUAAGUAAUCCAUCAUCAACUCCUCCAUAUCGAGUGAUCGAACAAACUGGUGUUUACUUUUUAGUGAUCGAGUGCAGAAACAGAGUCCGUAUCGCUCCAGAUAGUCAACAAGUGCAACGACACAAUCUGGCCCGGAAUUCUCUCCACCGGCAGAGUAAAACUGUCGACCACCGGCUUCACGCUCGAAAGCGGCGCGUCCUUGAACCUCUCCGUCCCCGACUCCUGGACAGGUCGUGUCUGGGCCCGGACACUCUGCAACCAAUAUUCCAGCGGAAACUUCUCCUGUUUCACCGCCGACUGCGGCACCGGAAAAAUCGAGUGCGACGGAAACUUUGGCAGUCUGCCGGCUACUACAGCCGAGUUCAGUCUCAACAGGACCGGCGGCGUGGACUUCUAUUUCGUCAGCCUCGUCACCGGGUUCAACCUCCCGAUAGUGGUGGAGCCUCGCGGAGCAGGCAGCAACAACUGCAGCUCUUCGGGAUGCUCGGCCGACUUGAACGGCGAUUGUCCCAAGGAGCUGAGGGUGGCGCGUGAGGGGAGCCAAGGGACCGUGGCGUGCAUGACGCCGUGCAUGGCGUUCAAUAAUUCGCGGUUUUGUUGUACGUAUCGUGCAUCCGACACGUGUGAUGGGACCGUAUAUAGCGAUUAUUUCAAACAAAGAUGCCCACAAGCGUAUACCUACUCGUAUGAUGACAACCAGAGUACGUACACCUGUGCUUCAGCUAAUGACUACAGCAUUGUUUUCUGUCCUAUCAGGUACCUAGUCCAUUAUAUAUUGUCACGUUUUAUGAUGUUCCAUUUGAGAGUCAUGUUGUAGAACCACUGCGAUUAAUCAAUUCUUGCUAUUAUAACAUGUCAAGAUGUCAAGAACCAGUAUGUUGCAUAUGAAGUUCUUGAGGAAUGUGGUAGUGAUAAGUUCUUGAGGAAUGUGCAAGUGCAAGGGGUUAAUAGUAGGUUCGAAGUUUUCUAAUUAUGUAGAACACUAGAAUUAGUAGUAUACAACUAGAAUUCAGAAAUCAUCCAUGAUACGAAUGCAGGUUAUUACAAAAGAUUUACUCCAAUUAAAGCACGUUAAUAACUGGUAACCAUCAAGCUUCGAUUCUUUAUGUCAGUUUGGACCAAACACCUUCGAAAAGUAAAAACCACAAAAUCGUGAUUGCCUUUAUAGCGGCAAGUGCUCAGAUUAUCAUCUACAUAACGAUGUUUGCGGGCCUAUGGAGCAUUACAUCGAAGAGACGACAAGGUUAGCAAAAUGAAUGCAUAGGCCGACUUGGAAUGCAGGACUUUCAGUUUUUUAGCUCGUCAUUUAUGUGAUGAUCACUCUGGUUUUUGGUGUAGAUAUCAAAAAUAGUUCAUUGGAGUUGGAGGAUGGUCGACGCUUCAUGUACUCGGAGCUUGUAAAGAUUACCAAUAAUUUUGCAUCGCCAAUUGGAGCUGGUGGAUUUGGAAAAGUCUAUCAUGGUCUUCUGGAAAAUGAUAUUCAAGUUGCUGUCAAGUUACUUAUUUCCGCAUCAGGCUCCAGUGAAUUUCAAAAUGAGGUAGAUAAGUUAACAAUCUAGCUCUAAAGCGACUCGGACUGUUCCAAAACCGCAAUUAACAUUAACUUUGAGCCAUAUAUAACAAACUGUAUGCAGGUUAAGCUAUUGAUGAGAGCUCAUCAUAGAAAUGUGGUUUCCUUCAUUGGCUACAGCUAUGAUGGAAAGACUAUGGCACUUGUAUUUGAAUAUGUGGCCAACGGAAAUCUGCGGCAACAUUUAACAUUUUCAGGUAUGCACUUAUCAUACUUCAUCUAUAUAUAUGAUGUGCUUGCAUUACUUGAUGAUCACUUAUAUGGCCUAAAUGCAAUCAUUUGUGCACUGUUGAGGUUCAGAUGCAGCCACUGGAAACAUUUUGACUUGGAAGGAGAGACUUCAAAUCGCAGUGGAUGCAGCACAUGGUAUAGAAUAGCUGACAUAUAAGAUAAAUAUAUAUGUUAAAGAGUUUGUUUCUUUGGUUCCCCUAUAUAUAUUCAUCAUGUAGUUCUAAAUCAUGAUCAUGUUGAAAUUUGAUGUACAUUAGUACAAGGCAUCGAUUAGGCUUUUAAAUGGCAGAUGAUAUUUUGCAGGACUGGAUUAUCUACACAAUGAUUGCAAGCCUCCCAUAAUCCACAGAGAUAUAAAGACCUCCAAUAUAUUGUUAACUGAAAAGACGCAAGCCAAGAUAUGUGAUUUUGGUGUUUCCAAACUUCUUUCAACUGAAACGGCCACUCAUACCAUGACAGAUCACGUCAGAGGAACUCGCGGAUACUUUGAUCCUGAGUAAGUUAGUAAAGACAUAUAUUAGACAUAUAAGUUGCUCUAAAUUGCUGAUAGAUAAGCAUAACUUACAUUCUUCGAUUUUCUUCUUUUCAUUUCAUUAUGUUCAGAUACUACACCACAGGAAAGCUGAACAAAAAGAGUGAUAUAUACAGCUUUGGGGUUGUGUUGCUAGAGCUGAUCACCGGAAGAACAGCAAUAAUAACAGAUGUAGAACCCGAACCUGUUCACAUUUGUCAAUGGGUGAGGCCUAUGUUUCAGAGAAGAGAUAUUGAAAGCAUAUUGGAUUCAAGGAUACAAGCAGGGACUUACACUGUUUCCUCUGCUUGGAAGGCGGUAGAAAUCGCCAUGGAAUGUGUGUCCUCAACAGCUACCGAAAGACCAGAUAUCACUGUCGUGUAUAAGGAAUUGAAGGAAUGUUUGGAAAUUGAGGUUCCACCUGAAAUACCAAAGGAUCCAGAGGUUGAUGAGAGUGAUGAUUGCAGUACUAGUUCAAGUGUCCCUGUUCCCAUGAUGUCCCACACUCGGUCUGAAAGCUUCUUAGUAGACAUGAAGUCACACAUUGAGUCUGAAACUGAAAGGCAUACGUAUUAGUUAUUCUUGCACUGUAAAACCAAGAUUGGAAAUUUGGAAUUAUACGAGAGCGGGAACUGAUUGGUUUCUACAAAUCUAGUAGAACAUUGCUCCAAUUGUGGGUUUCUCUGGAUUGCAAGAGGAUAUUACCUCCGAUGAAUCCAGAAGAAUGUUUAAAAUUAAGUUCUUGCAACUGGAAGUCUGGAAGAGACACUCUAUCAAUUGAUGCCAAAGGAACACUUGGGGUACCUUGUUGCUGUAAAUUGCAGGUUACCAGUUUUUCAACCUUCGUGUUUGUUUGAGGACCAAUCUGCUCAUGUAACAACAUUUGCAUUAUCAAUGCAUCAGCCACUUGGUUCCCUUUUUCGAAAAAUAUGUGAAAAACGAAAUUGCAUCACUGGAAUUCCAUGCCACAUCUCUAGUUAUCAAUGGACCAUUUAGGGAGUAUAGAAAAUCUAGAAUUAGAGACGACUUCAAACCAAAUAUGCAAGCUGGAUUGCCUUCAUCAUUGUCGUAACCUCAGCAACAAUUAUCAAGUGAUGAAGCAAAAGCAUGGACAAUCCUCACCUUGAAAAUCAUGAAAAACUCCACCAUAGCCCGACUGAUCCUCCCCACACUUUUAAGCGCCGUCUGUGUCAACCUUUACCAAACCAAUAAUGGGAGGUUUCCAAUUCACCUCAAAAAUAAGGGCAUGACGCGGCCGACAAGUAACACCAAACCAGCUAGUCAAGAGGACAAAACACAGACAAAAAAGAGAAAAUUACAUAGUAAUACAUGACCAAAUUUACAAACACAAAAACCAACUUUCAAUAUUUUUUGUACAAAUUAGGACAUGAGUACGUGCCGAAAACUAGUGGUACCAGAUAUGAUCCACACUUUCAUAAGCAAAUAACCAAUAUACCCACCGCGUUAUCUUCUUUCUCCAUCACCCAUAUCUCUCUCUCUCUCUCUCUCUCUCUNNNNNNNNNNNNNNNNNNNNCUCUCUACUCAGUACUCACCAUCAUCGCUGCCCCUCCUCCUCCACUGCCUCACUGUCGCCGCCGCAACAAUUGACGGUUCCCCUCAUCCGCGCCACACCAUCGCCGUCCUCUUCCUUCGUUGGUCGCCACGUCAGAAUCAACAGUAGUAGAAUCGCGUCUUCCUCCUAUCCAAGCUUGAUCACAUCACCUCUGUCCUUUGACGCUCGUCAAAGAGGCACGCCGCACGACGAUGCUCGACGACUACGACGCCCAGAUCGCAUCACUUCAGUCCUCCGAUGUCGGAUCUCAUACAACGUCAAGCUCUUAGAUCUGGUUAUGCAAACUGAUGUGAUCUGGUCGUCAUAUUCAUAUCCUAGCACCUUGUCAUGAUUUGGUUUGAAUUUGAAGCAUUGCAUAUGUUGGAGCAAACCUUGAUGCAUGGAUUUGAUCUUCAAUUUAUAUGAGAUGUUCAUGGAUUUGAUCUUCAGUUGGUAUGAGAUGCAUGGUGUCACCGUCUCUCAUUUGUCUCACUCAGUAGCAGUGAUAUAAAUGAGGUUGAAUGGUUUGGGUUUUGGUUGAUUAGUAGGUGAUGCCAUAUAUGAAUGAGGUUUGUUGUGAGAACAUGAAUGAGAUCUGUUUAUUUGAAUGAGGUUUGCUUAUCAAGUUAAACCAUUACUUGUUGUGGUAGAUGUAGUUUUAAAGUUCAUUAGUAGUGAUACGUACAGUAGCAGCAACGUUAUCAUCAGAGUCGGCUCGGCAGUAGUAGCGCUAGCAUCAAAGUUGGUAGUAGCAGCGCUCUAGCAUUAGAGUCGACAGUAGCAGCUUUGUUUGAUUUCAGAGAAUUGCCUGAAAAAAUUACAAUAACUCCUUUUUAUCGGGUGCUACUGUGCUACGUGGCAGUAGCACCCAAUGUGCUAUGUGCUAUGUGCUACUGUGCUUCUCAGUAGUGUGCUAUUGUGCUACUUGGCAGUAGCACCCAAUAUGCUAUUGUGCUACUCGGCAGUGUGCUACUGUGCUACAAGUCGAUAGUAGCAGUUGAUAUGUAAUGAAGGGUAUUCUGGUAAAAUUGUAGUGACAGAUGGCAUGUGAGUAUUAGUUUGUCAUAAUUUGUUAAUAUUUGUCUUUAAAUGUGUAAGAUAUUGUGUAAAAGAUGUAUUUGUAAACUGAAAUUUGGUUAAUAACUUUAUAGUAAUUUGCUAAAUUAAAAAAAGUGGGAGAAAAAAUAAUAUAAAAAUAAAUAAAAAUAAAAAAUGUCAUCUAGUAUUAUCUAUAGCCACGAGAAAGAAUGGGUGAAUUCGACUAUACAAGUCGCACAAGAGCAGCAAUGUUGGAAUUCUCAGUUGGUCUUCAAUCAUCUAUUGUUCACCUUUGUCUUCUUCUUCUCAGUUCUAACUUCAAACUCGAAUGACUAACUGGAUUCUUCACCUUCAUUUCUAUAAUGGGUGGGAGUCCUCUUCUACUCACGAUCAUGAUCACCCUUUCUGCUUUCUUCUCAGGUAAUGAAUCCACCCUCAUCUCCUCCAUCUCUGUUUCUUACUGAUCGAACAAACUGGUAUUUACUUCUUGGUUUCUUCAGAAACAGAGUCGACAUCUUUCGAGAUUGUGAACAACUGCAACUACACAAUCUGGCCCGGACUUCGCUCCACCGGCUCAUCACUAAACCUGUCCACCACCGGCUUCACGCUCAGGAGCGGCGCGUCCUUCAACCUCUCCGUCCCCAAAUCCUGGACAGGUCAGGUGUGGGGACGGACACUCUGCAACGAAUCCUCCACCGGAAACUUCUCCUGUUUCACCGCCGACUGCGGCACCGGAAAAGUCGAGUGCGACGGAAAUGGCGCCAUCCCGCCUGCUACUUUUGCUGAAUUCGAACUCAACAACUUCGGCUCCGGCGUGGACUACUAUGACGUCAGCCUGGUCACUGGGUUCAACCUCCCGAUGGUGGUGGAGCCUCGCGGAGCAGGCAGCAACCACUGCAUCUCUUCUGGAUGCUCGGCCGACUUGAACGGCGAUUGUCCCAAGGAGCUGAGGGUGGCGCGUGAGGGGAGCCAAGGGACCGUGGCGUGCAUGACGCCGUGCACGGCGUUCAAUAAUUCGCGGUUUUGUUGUACCGGGGAGUAUAGUACACCCGCCUCGUGUUCUGGGACCGUAUAUACCGAUUAUUUCAAACAAAGAUGCCCAAAGGCGUACACGUAUGCGUUUGAUUUGACGCCUUAUGCCAACCAGACUACGUUUACGUACAGCUGUGCGACAGCUAACUACAGCGUUGUUUUCUGCCCUAUCAGGUACCUAGCUAGUUCAUAAUAUAUUGUCAAAUUUGUCGUUGUUGAACCACUGCAAGUUACUUAGCGGUCAACCCGAGUUCGAUUUCAGAGUGUUGUUAAAGUGGUUAGAAGCUGAAAUGUAUAGUUGGAGCGCUGAGAGAUUAGUCGAUUCUUCGUAUUAUAACAUGUCGAAACGUUGGGCAAGAAGUCGAGAGCCAAUAUGAUGUUUUUGACGAAUGUGGUAGUGAUGAGACAACAAUGUGAAAGUGCAAGGGGUUAUUAGUAGUUUUCUGGGAGUUCUCUGGUUACAGUGUGGGUCUAUAUUAUGUAGAACAGUAGAAUUAGUAGUACUUACAACUUACACGUAGAAAUCUUCCAUGAUACAAAUGCAGGUUAGUAAGAAAGACUAACCAUCAAGCUUCUUUAUGUCAGUUUACCAGCUGAAACACAAGCAGAAACACCAGCCAAAGAACCAACUGUAUCCGAACAGGUUCCUUCGAAAAGUAAAAACCACACAAUCAUGAUUGCCUCUAUAGCGUCAAGUGCUGGGAUUAUCAUCUUCAUAUUAGCGGUGGUAGCAGGCCUAUGGAGCAGUAGAAGGAAGAGACAACAAGGUUAGCAAAAUGAAUACUUAGGCGGACUUUGAAUGCAGGAUUUUCAAUUUUUUAGCUAGUCAUUUUUGUGAUGAUUACUCUGGCUUUUGGUGUAGNNNNNNNNNNNNNNNNNNNNUACNGGAAACAUUUUGACUUGGAAGGAGAGACUUCAUAUCGCAGUGGAUGCAGCACAAGGUAUACAAUAGCUGAGAUAUAAGAACAAUAUAUAUGUGAAAUGGAUUGUUCCUUUGGUCUUCCUAUAUAUUUCCUAAAUCAUGAUUGAGUUGCAAUAUGAUGUACAUUAGUACCUGACAUCGAUUAGGCUUUUAAAAGGCAGAUAAUAUUUUGCAGGACUGGAUUAUCUACAUAAUGGUUGCAAGCCUCCCAUAAUCCACAGAGAUAUAAAGACCUCCAAUAUAUUGUUAACUGAAAAGAUGCAAGCCAAGAUAUGUGAUUUUGGUGUUUCCAAACUUCUUUCAACUGAAACCGCCACUCAUACCAUGACAGAUCACGUCAGAGGAACUAGAGGAUACUUUGAUCCUGAGUAAGUUAGUAAAGACAUACAUAAGUUACUUAGCAUUACUGAAAGAUAAAUUGCUGAUAGAUAAGCAUAACUUACAUUCUUCGGUUUUCUUCUUUUCAUGUCAUUAUGUUCAGAUACUACACCACAGGAAAGCUGAACAAAAAGAGUGAUAUAUACAGCUUUGGUAUUGUGUUGCUAGAACUAAUCACGGGCAGAACAGCAAUAAUAGAAGAUGUAGAACCCGAACCUGUUCACAUAUGUCAAUGGGUGAGGCCUAUGUUUCAGAGAAGAGAUAUUGAAAGUAUAUUGGAUUCAAGGAUACAAGCAGGGACUUACAACGUUUCCUCUGCUUGGAAGGCGGUAGAAAUCGCCAUGGAAUGUGUGUCAUCAACAGCUUUCGAAAGACCAGAUAUCAAUGUUGUGUAUAAGGAACUGAAGGAAUGUUUUGAAAUUGAGGUUCCACCUGAAAUAGCAAAGGUUCCAGAGGUUGAUGAAGAGAGUGAUGAUUGCAGUACUAAUUCAAGUGUUUCUUUUCACAUGGCGUCCCACGCUGAGUCUGAAAGCUUCUUAGUUCAUAUGAAGUCACACAUUGAGUCUGAAACUGAAAGGCAUACGUGUUAGUUAUUAUUUUGUUUUGAAAUCAACAUGUUAGUUAUUCUUGCACUGUUAAAACAAGAUUGGAAUUAUACGGGGGCGGAAACUAAUUGGACUAUUUCUACAAAUCUAGUAGAACAUUGCUCCGAUUUAAACUGUUCGUGGGUUCCUGGAUUGCAAGAGUAUAUUAUUACCUCUGGUGGAUCCAGAAGUAUGUCUUAAAUUAAGUUCUUGCAACUGAAGUGGCACUCGUAUUUCAACUUAUGCAAAGGAACAUUUUGGGUACCUUGAUGCUGUAAACUGCAGGUUAUAAAAACUGAUGAAGAUUUUCAACGUUCGCGAUUAUUUCAGGAUCAAUGACUUCUGAUAAACAGUUGCACAGAUCAAUGAGAGCGUUGUUGAUACGAGUUCGAGCAGCUCAGCUCGUGGAAGAAAGAGCUGCAACACAAAAA